AGCAACAAUGACGAGUAUACAGACCUGUAAUGAUUUGCGAAUAUGAUCGCAACUCUAAGAACAUCUAAGGGACUGAGUUGUU
This is a non-coding RNA of Nelumbo nucifera (sacred lotus), 82 nucleotides long. NCBI's taxonomy places the organism in Eukaryota, Viridiplantae, Streptophyta, Magnoliopsida, Proteales, Nelumbonaceae. The record is from Rfam.